GACAGAGGUCCCGAGCGUUAGGCGGAAUCACUGGGUCUUAAAGCGUGUGUAGGCGGAUUUGUAAGUACCUUGUGAAAUCCCACGGCUCAACCCGUGGAACUGCUUGGUAUACUGCUUAUCUUGGGCCACUUAGGGGUUACCGGAACAAACGGUGGAGCGGUGAAAUGCGUAGAUAUCGUUUGGAACGCCAAUGGUGGAAACAGGUAACUGGGAGUGUGCCGACGCUGAGACACGAAAGCCAGGGGAGCGAACGGG
RNAcentral lists this ribosomal RNA (255 nucleotides) under uncultured bacterium. RNAcentral's name for it is "partial 16S ribosomal RNA". It matches the Rfam family "Bacterial small subunit ribosomal RNA", at positions 524 to 776 of the family's 1533-position model. The record is from RNAcentral.